AAAAAGGAUAUUUAGCCUAAAAUCUCUUUGUGGCUGCUGCUUCUGACCUGAGACACACUGAGAUCAUCUCAGAUCAGCAUUUUUAGAAAGAUCUGUACACAUUUUUGAUUUGAGAAUCUGCCUUGGUUGCAGAUGUGUCUCCUAAUAUCUAAAGAGGAGAAAGCUAGAAAUCUUGAGGAAUGUCCAUCUGGCUGAAGCAACCUGGGACCAAACAAACUCAACAGCCAGUCUUCUAUUCCUUGGCCCCAUUUUAUUCUCUCUCAGCCUCAUCAUCCGCCUGAGAGGACUCCAUUGAACAGAUUUGGAUUUGGCUUGCUUGAUGCUGGACGAUUAAUGAAGGAAGCCCUAACUGGACAAAUGUUGGUCUCCUGAGACAAUGUGUUGUUGAUAACAGAAAAGGAUUGACAACAAGAUGUGGAUGUUCAUCUUUAAUGAACUGUAGUCACCAAGUGGAAAUCAGCUAAUUUUGACGAUACAACUGACCACCUUCUCAGCAAUAGCUGAAUAUUUACUCCUUCACAAAAUGAGCAAGCCUAUUAACUGUGAACGUGGAGAGAUGAAGCAAGCAAAAAACAAGAGAAGUGUGAAGAGCUUUGCAGCCGUAUCAUCUGUGACACUGUAUCAGCUCCUAGUUUUAGGGUCGAUGAGUGAAUAGGUGUAUAAGAGAUACACUGUAAUCCUACAAAGAAUGGUUUUUUCAAAGAAAUAAAGGGAAAAAAUUAAAAGGGAUGUCAGUAUAUUCUCAGGCACUAUAUGAUGACAAUCUUAGAGAGGGAGCUUCAUUUGGUGUUCUUCUGAUUUUGAAUCUAUACAGUGGAACAGUACUACAGAGAGACCUAGAUGAUAAUGUUCUUGAUCUUAUCAAGUGUUGCCAUAGUACUAGUAUUGUCACUUUCUUGUUGAAUUUACUCACGUGACAGAAACCAUUCUGUUAUAUAAGUUAAAGAUUCACAUUCUGUCCUUCAUUUUUGCGCUUUACAAUAUUGUUAAAAAAAAAGACAGAAAGGGACUAAAUGGGGCAGGAAGAGAAGAAAAAUAGAGGUGAAGUAAUAGCAAAAAUCAAACAUUAAAUAUUUCCUUUAACUGCAGCCAGAGGUGGUUAUUAUAUUUGACCAAAUAACCAAAUCCUCCAUCACAAGUCAGAACUUCACUUUUUAUUUCAAUACUCUUGAUAGAAAGGACCCAAUCCAUUAUUCUGUGUGUGCUAAAUAGUGUACUACCAACACUAAUAGACCAAGCAGAUGGUUUUGUUUUAUUGUCUGAAUGGUGUAAUGUUUUACUGCAAAUAUAAAUAGUGUACUCAUUUACCUGAUCCAAGUUCCCAAUGUACUUUAUAAUAAACCAAGUAAUUUUGACAGAAAUAUGUUGACCAAGCCUAGCCUAACACAUUGCCUAACACUUUGCAUAAGUCAAAAAUUAUUGAAAAUUAAGAACAGGAAAAGAAUCAUUCUGUUUACAUUUGUUAGGUUAUAUCCAUAAUAAACUUGUAAAAAAUGAAAACAGAAGAAAUUAUUAAAGCAGAUCCAAAUAUUACAUUUAUUCUAGAAUUCAAGAUUACAUCAUUUUCUGCUCCAACAGAAGAGUGUGAUGUCACAAACAUCAGAUUUUUCCAAAGACUUUCCUGAAAACAUUUCCUAUCAUGGAAUACUUCACCUUGCUUUCUUCUUACAGAUAUUCCUUCUAGAAACGUGUCCCUUUGGACAAGCAGUUAAGGAAUAUCAGGGGGGUAGUCUGGAGCAUACCACAACGUGGGACACCAAAGCAUUACAGAUUGCUCUCGUGGGAAUUGCUGGUUGGGAAUUGGUGGUGGGUCAGAAAAAAUAGCCAAAGCAGAGUGCCCAGGAGUGCCCCAGGGAUCAGAAGCAAGACUAAACAUCACUCUUCCAAACCAAGAUUUCUGAGCUAACCUAGAUUUUCAUUUAUAGUUAAAGCAGAGAGAUUUUAUUCUUACGAUGGAUUUUUAUCUCAGAUAAAAUCAAGCAAGCAAAAGGACUAUAACAUUAGAUCCUCCUUCUGCAUUCCACCAAAGGAGAACUGGGCAAAAAACAGAGGGAGUGAUUUGCUGGGGUAAGAUGAACCCUAGGCUGAACAAGACCUCCUGUCCUGUUCAGAGGCUGCCCUUUCCUGACUGUGAUGUAGAAGAAAGACAGCUAUCAGUAGGCCCUUGCAAAAACCCUUCACCUGUUUUUGCUCAAAGUGACAAAGCCCAGAGGACAAUGUCUGUAUUCCCUACUGGUCUGUAGGGAGUGUGAUGUAGCUGAUGCAAUUCCUGGCUCCAGCACACCUGCAAGGUCUCAUUGAUCUGCUGCUCACUGCUCUGAAAACUCAGAAAUCUAUUAUCAGUGUGAGCAUGUGCUUAUUGAUCAGAUUACCUGCUUCUGUUCCCUGUAUGCACCUAAUUGUAGCAGCGUAAGCGCACACACACACGUAAAUAUACACACAUGUUUUCGUAUAUACAGGCAUGCACACACAGGUUAUGGGGAUGUGUGUAUGUCAAAGGCUUUACUUUCUUUUUUUUUAUUUUAUUUUUUGCCUUACAAAACUGCGCAUAAAUAAAAAGAAUGGACCUUCUCUGUGAAACGUGAGCACAGGAACACUCACAAGUGGCCAAGAGCUGCUAAAUAAUUAAUCAAUAGAGCAGUGUGGCAGUUUGAAAUGUAAAUGUGAUGGAUGAAGGUGUGAUGCUUGUCAUCAAGCAGAAAAUGAUGUGACUGGAAUGGAUAACCCACAGUACCUGCUAACUGGCAAAAGCUUGGACACAAAGAUAAAGUAAAGCCAUCAGAAAGCAGCCCUGGCAACCCCUAAUUCUUGCCUUUGACCCACAAUUCACUUUCAUGUCUCUGUCCCAGAAGAGAUGUUUAAAAAAAUGAUGAAGAGAUAUCUUGGGGUGGGAAAGGGGAGAGAAAAAAACCAUCAGAAGAAAUGCUACCUGACAAGGCUGCAGGCUACA
This is a long non-coding RNA of Myiozetetes cayanensis, 2950 nucleotides long. RefSeq lists it as uncharacterized. NCBI's taxonomy places the organism in Eukaryota, Metazoa, Chordata, Aves, Passeriformes, Tyrannidae. The record is from RefSeq and is a predicted model, not a curated record. The transcript is spliced from 4 exons.